RNAcentral lists this ribosomal RNA (253 nucleotides) under uncultured bacterium. RNAcentral's name for it is "partial 16S ribosomal RNA". It matches the Rfam family "Bacterial small subunit ribosomal RNA", at positions 524 to 776 of the family's 1533-position model. The record is from RNAcentral.
UACGUAGGGGGCAAGCGUUGUCCGGAUUUAUUGGGCGUAAAGAGCGUGUAGGCGGCCAGGUAGGUCAGCUGUGAAAACUCGAGGCUCAACCUCGAGAUGUCGGCUGAAACCAUCUGGCUAGAGUCCGGAAGAGGAGAAUGGAAUUCCCGGUGUAGCGGUGAAAUGCGCAGAUAUCGGGAAGAACACCCAUGGCGAAGGCAGCUCUCUGGGACGGUACUGACGCUGAGACGCGAAAGCGUGGGGAGCGAACAGG